This 253-nucleotide ribosomal RNA is filed under the name uncultured bacterium. RNAcentral's name for it is "partial 16S ribosomal RNA". It matches the Rfam family "Bacterial small subunit ribosomal RNA", at positions 524 to 776 of the family's 1533-position model. The record is from RNAcentral.
UACGUAGGGUGCGAGCGUUGUCCGGAAUCACUGGGCGUAAAGGGCGCGUAGGCGGCCCGGUAAGUAGGGGGUGAAAUCUUGCGGCUCAACCGUAAGACUGCCUUCCAAACUGCCAGGCUGGAGCACAGUAGAGGCAGGUGGAAUUCCCGGUGUAGCGGUGGAAUGCGUAGAGAUCGGGAAGAACAUCGGUGGCGAAGGCGGCCUGCUGGGCUGUUGCUGACGCUGAGGCGCGAAAGCGUGGGGAGCAAACAGG